GCGCUGUUGGUGGAGCAGUAACCAUAUUCUAAUCCGAACCCAGUUCUCCAUGUUUAUUGUUGGGUCCUGGGUUCGAGCCCCGGACGGCGCA
Molecule: non-coding RNA, 91 nt
Organism: Mycena epipterygia
Lineage: Eukaryota; Fungi; Basidiomycota; Agaricomycetes; Agaricales; Mycenaceae
Source: the annotation of a GenBank genome assembly